GCCUCUGUGGCGGAACUGGUAGACGCGACGGAUUCAAAAUCCGUUUCUGGUGACAGAGUGCCGGUUCGAGUCCGGCCAGAGGUACCA
RNAcentral lists this transfer RNA (87 nucleotides) under Hyphomonas sp. RNAcentral's name for it is "tRNA-Leu". It matches the Rfam family "tRNA". From Rfam's summary of the family: Transfer RNA (tRNA) molecules are approximately 80 nucleotides in length. Their secondary structure includes four short double-helical elements and three loops (D, anti-codon, and T loops). Further hydrogen bonds mediate the characteristic L-shaped molecular structure. tRNAs have two regions of fundamental functional importance: the anti-codon, which is responsible for specific mRNA codon recognition, and the 3' end, to which the tRNAs corresponding amino acid is attached (by aminoacyl-tRNA synthetases). tRNAs cope with the degeneracy of the genetic code in two manners: having more than one tRNA (with a specific anti-codon) for a particular amino acid; and 'wobble' base-pairing, i.e. permitting non-standard base-pairing at the 3rd anti-codon position. Lineage: Bacteria; Pseudomonadati; Pseudomonadota; Alphaproteobacteria; Hyphomonadales; Hyphomonadaceae. RNAcentral also lists the same sequence under 16 other names. The record is from RNAcentral.